This is a long non-coding RNA of Poecilia latipinna (sailfin molly), 1463 nucleotides long. RefSeq lists it as uncharacterized. The record is from RefSeq and is a predicted model, not a curated record. The transcript is spliced from 4 exons. Lineage: Eukaryota; Metazoa; Chordata; Actinopteri; Cyprinodontiformes; Poeciliidae.
UGUUAAAUCGUCUGUUUUAAUUCCAACAAAAUCACUAAUGUUUGUCCUCACCUGUCAGUGAUCCUAAUUUCAUGCCUGAUUUAAAGGUGUGUAAUCACGUUGCGGUAAAACUAAUUACAUGCUGUUCACAGUGACUUUGAGUCGUGCAUAAUUGAGCCUCAGGAAACGAGCAGCUUGCAUUGAAUCCAUGAGGCGAGUCGAAUAAUUCUCAUUUACUUUGCACUUUUGCUUCGUCACGUUCUGUUGAACCGGGGAGACGUUAGACGGCGUGUUUUUGUUCAUGUUCUCAGUCUCUGACCAGCCUGAUGAGUCCAUCACACCGCGCCUGGAUCUGGAAUAUUCUGAAGAAACUGUAAUUAUUACUGACAGAUUACUCUUCUCAGUGAUGAAGCAUGAACAGCUCUCAUUACAGAGCUGUAUUCAACACACCACUGCUCAGAGUAAAACAGCGAAUGCAUGAUGCUGCUACCUUACAUGCUAACUAUGCUAACAGCUCGGACACAUAAGCGAUCAACUGAAAAUAUAAACCAUUUCUGUCAACAAAUCAGGAUUUAGAGUCCAGCUGCCAGCGCCGGUCUGCAGUCGCUGAAACAGGCCUUUAAAUUAACUGCGCAGAAACGUUCAGAAUGCUAACCAGAUGCUCAGCGUUCGCUAACCAUAAAGAGCAGCUGGAAACAAGAAGCUGUGAUGUCACUUCCUCCUUCACCAGCCGCUCAGAAGCUGCAGAAGGUUUUCGACUGAAAACAGAACCAGACAUCGUUUCUCCUGUAAACUUUCCUUCCUCUGCAGCAGCCAGCAGCUUUGUGUCUGAUGUUAUCGCUCUGCUUCUUGUUGUUUGUCUGUUCUGCUGUAGUUGUGUUUCGGUCUUUGUCUCCAGUGUUUUGCUCUGAUAGAGAAAAACUCCUGGAUUUAAAGCGGCUCUUAUCGCUAAAAAGACAUUAAACGAGAGGCUCAGAUGUCCGAAGUGACAUCCCACUCUGGGAGAUGAAUGGAUCUCCGCUGCAGAGCGUUCCCAUUAUGGAAUCACUGAGAGGCUCAAGGACAAAUCUGGGAGAGAAAAGUGUGAGCGUUUUAUUAGAUCAUUGCUGCGUUAAAGCAUUCGGUUACUCUACAAACAUGCUGCAUGCCUGGAUGUAGUUUAGGUGAAGUAAUAAAACCUGGUGAAUGCUUUAUGUUGGUGCUCAGAAAUGAGUUUCCUCCAGAUUUAAAAUCAUAUUUGUUGUUUCUGCUGCGACCUCCAUUAUCCAGGACAUAAAAGCCCCCCUACGAAGCUAAAUGAAAAUGUUUGUCACCAUAAAAUGAAAAUGAAAAAAGAAAAAACAGAAGGUUUUUCUUUUUAAGUGCUGAUUCCUGACAGUGUAAGCAGCCAGCAGCGCCGUUCGGCGUCAGAUGGUGCAGCAGGUUGGUGAAGGUUCAGGACGCAGAUCAUCACAAAAAGACAACGAGAAAAAUCUAAAUUUACA